RNAcentral lists this transfer RNA (72 nucleotides) under Ophiopholis aculeata (daisy brittle star). Its description in RNAcentral is "tRNA-Lys". It matches the Rfam family "tRNA". From Rfam's summary of the family: Transfer RNA (tRNA) molecules are approximately 80 nucleotides in length. Their secondary structure includes four short double-helical elements and three loops (D, anti-codon, and T loops). Further hydrogen bonds mediate the characteristic L-shaped molecular structure. tRNAs have two regions of fundamental functional importance: the anti-codon, which is responsible for specific mRNA codon recognition, and the 3' end, to which the tRNAs corresponding amino acid is attached (by aminoacyl-tRNA synthetases). tRNAs cope with the degeneracy of the genetic code in two manners: having more than one tRNA (with a specific anti-codon) for a particular amino acid; and 'wobble' base-pairing, i.e. permitting non-standard base-pairing at the 3rd anti-codon position. Lineage: Eukaryota; Metazoa; Echinodermata; Ophiuroidea; Amphilepidida; Ophiactidae. The record is from RNAcentral.
GUUUAAUUAGCUUAAAACUAAAGCUUAGGGCUCUUAAUCCUAUGAAGGAGACUAAAUACCCUCCAUUAAACC